CUCAGUAACGCGUAGUCAAUCUAACCUAUGGACGGGGAUAACCUCGGGAAACUGAGAAUAAUACCCGAUAGAACAUUAUGCCUGGAAUGGUUUAUGUUUCAAAUAAUUUAUUGCCGUAGGAUGGGACUGCGGCCUAUCAGUUUGUUGGUGAGGUAAUGGCCCACCAAGACUAUUACAGGUACGGGCUCUGAGAGGAGUAGCCCGGAGAUGGGUACUGAGACACGGACCCAGGCCCUAUGGGGCGCAGCAGGCGAGAAAACUUUGCAAUGUGCGAAAGCACGACAAGGUUAAUCCGAGUGGUUUCUGCUAAAGGAACCUUUUGUUAGUCAUAGAACCACUAAUGAAUAAGGGGUGGGCAAGUUCUGGUGUCAGCCGCCGCGGUAAAACCAGCACCUCAAGUGGUCAGGAUGAUUAUUGGGCCUAAAGCAUCCGUAGCCUGCUUUGUAAGUUUUCGGUUAAAUCCAUACGCUUAACGUAUGGGCUGCCGGGAAUACUGCACAGCUAGGGAGUGGGAGAGGUAGACGGUACUCGGUAGGAAGGGGUAAAAUCCUUUGAUCUAUCGAUGACCACCUGUGGCGAAGGCGGUCUACCAGAACACGUCCGACGGUGAGGGAUGAAAGCUGGGGGAGCAAACCGGAUUAGAUACCCGGGUAGUCCCAGCUGUAAACUAUGCAAACUCGGUGAUGCAUUGGCUUGAUGCCAAUGCAGUGCCGCAGGGAAGCCGUUAAGUUUGCCGCCUGGGAAGUACGUACGCAAGUAUGAAACUUUAAAGGAAUU
Molecule: ribosomal RNA, 777 nt
Filed under: uncultured crenarchaeote
Lineage: Archaea; Thermoproteati; Thermoproteota
Description: bacterial SSU rRNA
Rfam family: Archaeal small subunit ribosomal RNA
Source: RNAcentral